CGCGGGGUAGAGAACCGGUUAUCUCACGACUCUCAUAAGGUCGAGAAGUGGGUUCAACUCCCACCCCCGCAA
This 72-nucleotide transfer RNA is filed under the name Candidatus Nealsonbacteria bacterium CG_4_10_14_0_2_um_filter_38_17. RNAcentral's name for it is "tRNA-Met". It matches the Rfam family "tRNA". From Rfam's summary of the family: Transfer RNA (tRNA) molecules are approximately 80 nucleotides in length. Their secondary structure includes four short double-helical elements and three loops (D, anti-codon, and T loops). Lineage: Bacteria; Candidatus Nealsoniibacteriota. RNAcentral also lists the same sequence under 1 other name. The record is from RNAcentral.